ACAGCAGUAGCCACGGUAAUACGUAGGUGGCAAGCGUUGUCCGGAAUUAUUGGGCGUAAAGGGCUCGCAGGCGGUUUCUUAAGUCUGAUGUGAAAGCCCCCGGCUCAACCGGGGAGGGUCAUUGGAAACUGGGAAACUUGAGUGCAGAAGAGGAGAGUGGAAUUCCACGUGUAGCGGUGAAAUGCGUAGAGAUGUGGAGGAACACCAGUGGCGAAGGCGACUCUCUGGUCUGUAACUGACGCUGAGGAGCGAAAGCGUGGGGAGCGAACAGGAUUAGAUACCCGUGUAGUCCCUGUCUCUUAUAC
RNAcentral lists this ribosomal RNA (305 nucleotides) under uncultured bacterium. Its description in RNAcentral is "partial 16S ribosomal RNA". It matches the Rfam family "Bacterial small subunit ribosomal RNA", at positions 505 to 807 of the family's 1533-position model. The record is from RNAcentral.